This 481-nucleotide RNase P RNA is filed under the name Candidatus Uhrbacteria bacterium. RNAcentral's name for it is "RNase P RNA component class A". It matches the Rfam family "Bacterial RNase P class A". From Rfam's summary of the family: Ribonuclease P (RNase P) is a ubiquitous endoribonuclease, found in archaea, bacteria and eukarya as well as chloroplasts and mitochondria. Its best characterised activity is the generation of mature 5'-ends of tRNAs by cleaving the 5'-leader elements of precursor-tRNAs. Cellular RNase Ps are ribonucleoproteins. Lineage: Bacteria; Candidatus Uhriibacteriota. The record is from RNAcentral.
CGGGUGAGACAGAUGACCGCCCGCCUGCUUCGCAGGCGAGGCUCGCCACAUUGUGUGGCGGCUCCGCUACAAGUAGACGAGAGGAAAGUCCGGGCUCCAAUCCCGCAGUAAUGCGGGGGAAAGUGAAAGCGGCUAACGACCGCCAGGAUAUAGCAGGAAACGAAAGGUCACGUGCCCGACGUUUCCUGUAAACCUAGGGAAAGUGCCACAGAGACAAUACUAGUCCGAUGUUCAUCGGACGAAAGGUGAAAAGUGUGCGAGUGUGGUUUGGAUCAUAUCAGGCCGCUAUCGCACUCCUCCAUUGGUAACAAUGGAGCGUGGUAAACCCUUUCUGGUGCAAGAGCAAGGUCCCCGUCGCGUAAAGCUAUGGGGACAGGUCGCUCGCAUGAUUUUGACUGCGAAGUCAGAACAAGAGAGAUGGUCAUCAGACCCCGCAGUAAUGCGGGACGAACAAAACUCGGCUUACCGUCUCGCCCGAAUU